CCUACGGGUGGCAGCAGUGGGGAAUAUUGGGCAAUGGACGCAAGUCUGACCCAGCAACGCCGCGUGCAGGAAGAAGGCUUUCGGGUUGUAAACUUCUUUUAAGGGGGAAGAGCAGAAGACGGUACCCCUUGAAUAAGCCACGGCGAACUACGUGCCAGCGGCCGCGGUAAUACGUAGGUGGCAAGCGUUGUCCGGAUGUACUGGGUGUAAAGGGCGGGCAGCGGGAGAGACAAGUCAGAUGUGAAAUCCCCGUGCUCAACCCGUGAACUGCAGUUGAAACUGCGUGACUUGAGUGAUGGAGAGGCAGGCGGAAUGCCCAGUGUAGCGGUGAAAUGCGUAGAUAUUGGGAGGAACACCAGUGGCGAAGGCGGCCUGCUGGACAUUAACUGACGCUGAGGCGCGAAAGCGUGGGGAGCAAACAGGAUUAGAUACCCGAGUAGUC
This 442-nucleotide ribosomal RNA is filed under the name uncultured bacterium. RNAcentral describes it as "partial 16S ribosomal RNA". It matches the Rfam family "Bacterial small subunit ribosomal RNA", at positions 338 to 795 of the family's 1533-position model. The record is from RNAcentral.